AAGCGCUGGGUCCAUCUUCGGGUUUACCAGUGGUGCCCGGACGUCCAGUUCCCAUUACUACAGGUUAUUCCUGUCCAGAACGCGGGGUAGACGGCCGAGACGUGCGUGACCAUCUUACCGAGCGCGGGUGAACUUGGGCCCUUUCGUUGCCUGAGCUGCACCUGUCUUACUGUAAUGUAGGAAUGUGUGUGCAACACAGCAAGCCUAAAUGUUAGGGCAAUGGGCAGUGUUUCCAAAGCCAGAUGGAACUCAAUAGCCACUUCAUUUCUGAGCUUCAAUCCCAUGAAACUGAGAAGGAAGAAAAGAUCCAGUGUUCCCCAGGUAGAGCUCCUCAGACAUGGCAGGAGGUGUACAGCUUCUCUGAAUUAUGACUCCUUGCCCCAGCACAUGCCCAAGGAGCUGUGGUGUGCAGGUAACUGAAGUAGAGCCACCUAGCAGGACUCUCUCUGGAAAUGCCUGUCAAGUAGUUUGCAGGACUCCAGAUACUGAGAUGAAGCAGCGCUUGACUGGAACCACGCAGGACGACAGAUUCCACCCUUUCCUGGUCUUCUCUUGUCAGGACUUCAGGCCCAUCUUGGCCAUCAUCUCUUCAUAGACUGUCCACGCCAUAGCUGCCAUCAGAGUUCUGCGGAGGGUCCGGGGGACACUGCCUUGAAAGAAGCCACGCAACCCAUGGUCCUAUGAUGAAAAUAAAAGUCAAAACUCCAGAAACAAAGUGGCAAUAUAAUUAACUAUCCAUCUGGCAC
Sciurus carolinensis (gray squirrel) is the source of this 746-nucleotide long non-coding RNA. RefSeq lists it as uncharacterized. The record is from RefSeq and is a predicted model, not a curated record. The transcript is spliced from 4 exons. NCBI's taxonomy places the organism in Eukaryota, Metazoa, Chordata, Mammalia, Rodentia, Sciuridae.